GUAGGUGGCAAGCGUUGUCCGGAAUUAUUGGGCGUGAAGCGCGCGCAGGCGGUUCUUUAAGUCUGAUGUGAAAGCCCACGGCUCAACCGUGGAGGGUCAUUGGAAACUGGAGAACUUGAGUACAGAAGAGGAAAGCGGAAUUCCACGUGUAGCGGUGAAAUGCGUAGAGAUGUGGAGGAACACCAGUGGCGAAGGCGGCUUUCUGGUCUGUAACUGACGCUGAGGCGCGAAAGCGUGGGGAGCAAACAGGGAUUAGAUACCCUGGUAGUCCACGCCGUAAACGAUGAGUGCUAAGUGUUAGGGGGUUUCCGCCCCCCUUAGUGCUGCAGCUAACGCAUUAAGCACUCCGCCUGGGGAGUACGGCCGCAAGGCUG
This 374-nucleotide ribosomal RNA is filed under the name uncultured organism. RNAcentral's name for it is "partial 16S ribosomal RNA". It matches the Rfam family "Bacterial small subunit ribosomal RNA", at positions 527 to 896 of the family's 1533-position model. The record is from RNAcentral.